This 531-nucleotide ribosomal RNA is filed under the name uncultured bacterium. RNAcentral's name for it is "bacterial SSU rRNA". It matches the Rfam family "Bacterial small subunit ribosomal RNA", at positions 979 to 1509 of the family's 1533-position model. The record is from RNAcentral.
CCUUGACAUACUAAGAACUUUCCAGAGAUGGAUCGGUGCCUUCGGGAACUUAGAUACAGGUGCUGCAUGGCUGUCGUCAGCUCGUGUCGUGAGAUGUUGGGUUAAGUCCCGCAACGAGCGCAACCCUUUUCCUUAUUUGCCAGCGGGUCAUGCCGGGAACUUUAAGGAUACUGCCAGUGACAAACUGGAGGAAGGCGGGGACGACGUCAAGUCAUCAUGGCCCUUACGGCCAGGGCUACACACGUGCUACAAUGGUCGGUACAAAGGGUUGCUACCUCGCGAGAGGAUGCUAAUCUCAAAAAGCCGAUCGUAGUCCGGAUCGCAGUCUGCAACUCGACUGCGUGAAGUCGGAAUCGCUAGUAAUCGCGGAUCAGAAUGCCGCGGUGAAUACGUUCCCGGGCCUUGUACACACCGCCCGUCACACCAUGGGAGUUUGUUGCACCAGAAGUAGGUAGUCUAACCGCAAGGAGGACGCUUACCACGGUGUGGCCGAUGACUGGGGUGAAGUCGUAACAAGGUAAGCGUAGAUGA